This 673-nucleotide ribosomal RNA is filed under the name Salmonella enterica. RNAcentral's name for it is "partial 23S ribosomal RNA". It matches the Rfam family "Bacterial large subunit ribosomal RNA", at positions 566 to 1190 of the family's 2925-position model. The record is from RNAcentral. RNAcentral also lists the same sequence under 1 other name. Lineage: Bacteria; Pseudomonadati; Pseudomonadota; Gammaproteobacteria; Enterobacterales; Enterobacteriaceae.
CAAAGCAGCAUCGCGGUGGCGGAGCGUCGUUUGCGACGCCCAACACACAAAACAAGCGGUGAGUGCUUUGGGGUGGGGUGACUGCGUACCUUUUGUAUAAUGGGUCAGCGACUUAUAUUCUGUAGCAAGGUUAACCGAAUAGGGGAGCCGGAGGGAAACCGAGUCUUAAUUGGGCGUUAAGUUGCAGGGUAUAGACCCGAAACCCGGUGAUCUAGCCAUGGGCAGGUUGAAGGUUGGGUAACACUAACUGGAGGACCGAACCGACUAAUGUUGAAAAAUUAGCGGAUGACCUGUGGCUGGGGGUGAAAGGCCAAUCAAACCGGGAGAUAGCUGGUUCUCCCCGAAAGCUAUUUAGGUAGCGCCUCGUGAAUUCAUCUCCGGGGGUAGAGCACUGUUUCGGCUAGGGGGCCAUCCCGGCUUACCAACCCGAUGCAAACUGCGAAUACCGGAGAAUGUUAUCACGGGAGACACACGGCGGGUGCUAACGUCCGUCGUGAAGAGGGAAACAACCCAGACCGCCAGCUAAGGUCCCAAAGUCAUGGUUAAGUGGGAAACGAUGUGGGAAGGCCCAGACAGCCAGGAUGUUGGCUUAGAAGCAGCCAUCAUUUAAAGAAAGCGUAAUAGCUCACUGGUCGAGUCGGCCUGCGCGGAAGAUGUAACGGGGCUAAACCAU